This 867-nucleotide long non-coding RNA is filed under the name Physcomitrium patens. RNAcentral's name for it is "long non-coding RNA (PPAT_LNC009435)". The record is from RNAcentral. Lineage: Eukaryota; Viridiplantae; Streptophyta; Bryopsida; Funariales; Funariaceae.
UUGUUGAAAGGAGGAGAACACUACGUAUUUCCAUUAGUGAUCCGAAUGGAAACAUUGCCAAAGUCGCCCCCAGCUGAUGAGCCGCCGCGAGAAUCAUUGCCUCUUGGAGCUCCCCUACCAGACUGGGUGCACGCACAGAUCACACAAGCAACUAUUGAGAAGAAGGACGAUGAUUCAUACCAGGUGCGGGUGGUGAAGCAAAUUCUUUGGAUCUCUGGCCUCCGAUAUGAGCUACAAGAAAUCUAUGGAAUCGAUAACAGUGGAAUAGGUGGUAAUUUUGAUGGCACUGUUGCUGGGAAAGCAUGCGUCGUGUGUAUGUCAGAACCUCGGGAUACCACUGUUCUGCCUUGUCGACACAUGGUGAGACUGCUUGUUCCUGUUUGGAUUUACUUAAUUUGCCUAAACUAACGGGGAAAGAAAUGUAACUCUUGAAGGUUUCUACUCGCCAACAAUCUGAUUACAAGAAAAAUUCCAUAAAGUUCUGCUCGAUUUUAGAAAAAAAACGAUACUGGCACAUCUUUUUCUUGUUCCGUGUGGCAGCCUUCUUGACAUUCUUCUUCUUCGUCUUCUUCUUCUUCAUUUUCUUUUACUUACUUUUUUUAGUGAGUGUAAGUCCCAUUUAUAUUAUAUUGAUACUUGAGUUGAACAACGAUUGCAACAUUGACAAUGCCACAAGUUUCCAGGGGCUUAUCUGCAUCCUACUAAUGAAGGGUGUGUUAUUGGGAUGGGAAUGGCUUACAGUGUAUGUGUAGUGAAUGCGCCAAGGUAUUGAGAUUCCAAACCAAUCGCUGCCCCGUUUGUCGUACCCCAGUGGAGAAAUUGUUAGAAAUAAAAGUGCCCAAGAGAGGUUCUGAGCUCGGUGGCGCU